CAGAGGUCCCGAGCGUUGUUCGGAUUCACUGGGCGUAAAGGGUGCGUAGGUGGUGAGGUAAGUCGGAUGUGAAAUCUCCGGGCUCAACCCGGAAAUGGCAUUGGAAACUACCUUGCUGGAGGAUUUGAGGGGGGAUUGGAAUACUUGGUGUAGCAGUGAAAUGCGUAGAUAUCAAGUGGAACACCAGUGGCGAAGGCGAAUCCCUGGAAAAUGCCUGACACUGAGGCACGAAAGCUAGGGGAGCAAACAGGAUUAGAUACCCUGGUAGUCCUAGCCCUAAACGGUGCUUGCUUGCUGUAAGAGGAAUCGACCCCUCUUGUGGCGGAGCUAACGCGUUAAGCAAGCCGCCUGGGAAGUACAGUCGCAAGAUUA
RNAcentral lists this ribosomal RNA (372 nucleotides) under uncultured organism. RNAcentral's name for it is "bacterial SSU rRNA". It matches the Rfam family "Bacterial small subunit ribosomal RNA", at positions 526 to 896 of the family's 1533-position model. The record is from RNAcentral.